Molecule: unclassified non-coding RNA, 172 nt
Filed under: uncultured Phialocephala
Lineage: Eukaryota; Fungi; Ascomycota; Leotiomycetes; Helotiales
Description: sequence contains ITS1
Source: RNAcentral
CAAGUGAGGCUACCGAACGCUGGAAACAGCGGAAGGAGCUUACACCCACCCGUGUUUACAUACUAUUGUUGCUUUGGCGGGCCGUGGCCUCCACCGCGGGCUCUGCUCGUGUGUGCCCGCCAGAGGAUUAAACUCUGAAUGUUAGUGAUGUCUGAGUACUAUCUAAUAGUUA